GGUUCCAUAGUGUAGGAGUUAGCACUACCGCUUUACACGCAGGAGAUCCUGGGUUCACGCCCCAGUGGAGCCA
RNAcentral lists this transfer RNA (73 nucleotides) under Pteropus alecto (black flying fox). It matches the Rfam family "tRNA". Rfam says of the family: Transfer RNA (tRNA) molecules are approximately 80 nucleotides in length. Their secondary structure includes four short double-helical elements and three loops (D, anti-codon, and T loops). Lineage: Eukaryota; Metazoa; Chordata; Mammalia; Chiroptera; Pteropodidae. The record is from Rfam by way of RNAcentral.